Elaeis guineensis (African oil palm) is the source of this 106-nucleotide small nucleolar RNA. The record is from RefSeq and is a predicted model, not a curated record. NCBI's taxonomy places the organism in Eukaryota, Viridiplantae, Streptophyta, Magnoliopsida, Arecales, Arecaceae.
AUGGCGUGGUGCAGACAUUUAUGAAUUAGGUCUUUAAGCCUCUCCCAAGUCUCAUGGAUUAUUUUUCCAUCCAUUUGGGAAAAACUGGUAAUGACUUUUCUAAUUU